GUAUAUUUUCAAUUGUUUUCGGAGAAAAACAUCUAAAACAAAAAAAAAAACAAAAAUUAAAAUGUGAAAUAAUAAAAAAUUAGAUUUAAGCAUAAAGUGUUAUUAGUGUUAAGCAAAAAGUGCAAGUUCAUUAGUUUUAAGAAUUUUUGUGAAAUAAUACAACAUUUUCGAAUAUUUGUGUCAACAACAAGGAGUAUGCGGAAAGAUUGAAUACCCCAGUCUACCCUUAUUCUACAUAACGAAUUCAAGAGCUAAAAAUCCACACCCAGAACACAAGAAGGUACUUUGCACUAUUUUGGGUUGGAGUACUUUAACGAUCACCAGCUCUUUUCAGUUCGGAGUAUGUGGAAUUAUUGAUUACACCAAUCGACACCCAUUCAAGUAUGUAUGGAAAGAAAUCAACUGAGUGAGGUUUAGCAAAAGAAGUCACAUUUUCUAUAGGACUACGAUAUGUACUUAUGUAGUUCUCCAUAUAACGAGAGUACUUUAAACAUUGCUGGAGUGCGCUACUGAUCAGGAUUAUAAAUGGUUAUCAGAAUUAUGACUGCAACUUAGAGCCAUUACACAAAGGACACUUUAUUGGACAUAUCACACUUAUUGUAAUCAUUUCAAUUGGACAUAUAUUUUGAUACUAAAAAAGACUAGAUACUAAAGAUACUAAAAGGGACUACGAUACAAGUAUGUAUGUAGUUCUCCAUAUAACGAAUUUGAGGUUUAAGAACCCACAAGAGAGUACUUUAAACAUUGCUGGAGUGCGCUACUGAUCAGGAUGAUAAAUGGUUAUCAGAAUUAUGACUGCAACUUAGAGCCAUUACACAAAGGACACUUUAUUGGACAUAUCACACUUAUUGUAAUCAUUUCAAUUGGACAUAUAUUUUAUUACUAAAAAAGACUAGAUACUAAAGAUACUAAAAGGGACUACGAUAUGUAUGUAGUUCUCCAUAUAACGAAUUCGAGGUUUAAGAACCCACAAGAGAGUACUUUAAACAUUGCUGGAGUGCGCUACUGAUCAGGAUUAUAAAUGGUUAUCAGAAUUAUGACUGCAAUUUAGAGCCAUUACACAAAGGACACUUUAUUGGACAUAUCACACUUAUUGUAAUCAUUUCAAUUGGACAUAUAUUUUAUUACUAAAAAAGACUAGAUACUAAAGAUACUAAAAGGGACUACGAUAUGUAUGUAGUUCUCCAUAUAACGAAUUCGAGGUUUAAGAACCCACAAGAGAGUACUUUAAACAUUGCUGGAGUGCGCUACUGAUCAGGAUUAUAAAUGGUUAUCAGAAUUAUGACUGCAAUUUAGAGCCAUUACACAAAGGACACUUUAUUGGACAUAUCACACUUAUUGUAAUCAUUUCAAUUGGACAUAUAUUUUGAUACUAAAAAAGACUAGAUACUAAAGAUACUAAAAAGGACUACGAUACAAGUAUGUAUGUAGUUCUCCAUAUAACGAAUUUGAGGUUUAAGAACCCACAAGAGAGUACUUUAAACAUUGUUGGAGUGCGCUACUGAUCAGGAUUAUAAAUGGUUAUCAGAAUUAUGACUGCAACUUAGAGCCAUUACACAAAGGACACUUUAUUGGACAUAUCACACUUAUUGUAAUCAUUUCAAUUGGACAUAUAUUUUGAUACUAAAAAAGACUAGAUACUAAAGAUACUAAAAAGGACUACGAUACAAGUAUGUAUGUAGUUCUCCAUAUAACGAAUUUGAGGUUUAAGAACCCACAAGAGAGUACUUUAAACAUUGCUGGAGUGCGCUACUGAUCAGGAUGAUAAAUGGUUAUCAGAAUUAUGACUGCAAUUUAGAGCCAUUACACAAAGGACACUUUAUUGGACAUAUCACACUUAUUGUAAUCAUUUCAAUUGGACAUAUAUUUUAUUACUAAAAAAGACUAGAUACUAAAGAUACUAAAAGGGACUACGAUAUGUAUGUAGUUCUCCAUAUAACGAAUUCGAGGUUUAAGAACCCACAAGAGAGUACUUUAAACAUUGCUGGAGUGCGCUACUGAUCAGGAUGAUAAAUGGUUAUCAGAAUUAUGACUGCAAUUUAGAGCCAUUACACAAAGGACACUUUAUUGGACAUAUCACACUUAUUGUAAUCAUUUCAAUUGGACAUAUAUUUUGAUACUAAAAAAGAAACCUUACACGUUAUUAGAUGAUCGGCCCACUUAUGGGGAUAUUAUAUAUAUUUUGAUACGAAAGAGCACAAAACUAUAAAAGAGAAAGAUUUAGAAGAAUGCUUCAAAGCUUCUCGGCUACAAACACUAACCGGCGUCUCCCGGCUACAAAUCCUAUAUAUUUUGAUACGAAAAGACAAACUUUAAACUUAGCAUCUAUUUUGCAGCGAUCAUUCAAAUCGGCAUAUGGAUGUUUGCAGCAGUAAAUACACUCUUUAUAAGUAUUUUUACAUAAAAAACGAUGUAUAUAUUUUGAUACUAAAGGAAAUCCUUACCAUAUAUUUUGAUACUAAGACGGAAAUACCUAUACAUACUUGUCCCACAUUAAAAGGGAUGCCAGUAAUUCAAUUUCCAAUCACAACUCUUCUCGGAGCAGUAAUGUGAUGCUAAAAUGAAAACCAAACUGUAUAUUUUGAUACUAAAAAUCCCUUACCAUAUAUUUUGAUACUAAUAAACCUAUAUAUUUUGAUACUUAAGGGAUAUAGAAA
Scaptodrosophila lebanonensis is the source of this 2657-nucleotide long non-coding RNA. RefSeq lists it as uncharacterized. Lineage: Eukaryota; Metazoa; Arthropoda; Insecta; Diptera; Drosophilidae. The record is from RefSeq and is a predicted model, not a curated record. The transcript is spliced from 12 exons.